GUUUGAUGCCAUGAUUGUCACUCAGCAGUUAAAGAGAACCAUCAAGUUUUACUCUAUGCUGGAACUGCAAUCCUCAGGAAGACAUUUUCCAUGUCUACCAUGCACACAUGCUGCAGCUUUGCUGGUGUGAAGAAAAGAUGGCAGACACUGUUUCCUGCUGCCUCUGAUCAGCUGGGAUUUGCUCAAGAUGCAUCAGUGACCUUGGCAAGUAGCCCAUGGCUGGGGCCAGAACAGGCGUGUGGUACCAAGGUGUGCUGUGGAUGUCCUUUUCCAUGCUUUCCCUGCUUUCUCUGUGUGGUUACGGAGCCGCUCACGGGGCCCUGCCGUACGCCGGGGCCGGAGACGCCCGCAGCAGCAGCUGCCUUGCAGGGUGCAGUGUGGUCUCUCCUCAUCUGCCACAGCCACCAGCCAGCUGAGCCAUUGACUGUGAUAGCAAAGGAGCUUCAAGA
Molecule: long non-coding RNA, 449 nt
Organism: Apus apus (common swift)
Lineage: Eukaryota; Metazoa; Chordata; Aves; Apodiformes; Apodidae
Exons: 4
Source: RefSeq, a predicted model, not a curated record